AUUGAACGCUGGCGGCAGGCCUAACACAUGCAAGUCGAGCGGAUGACGGGAGCUUGCUCCUUGAUUCAGCGACGGACGGGUGAGUAAUGCCUAGGAAUCUGCCUGGUAGUGGGGGACAACGUUUCGAAAGGAACGCUAAUACCGCAUACGUCCUACGGGAGAAAGCAGGGGACCUUCGGGCCUUGCGCUAUCAGAUGAGCCUAGGUCGGGUUAGCUAGUUGGUGGGGGAAGGGCUCACCAAGGCGACGAUCCGUAACUGGUCUGAGAGGAUGAUCAGUCACACUGGAACUGAGACACGGUCCAGACUCCUACGGGAGGCAGCAGUGGGGAAUAUUGGACAAUGGGCGAAAGCCUGAUCCAGCCAUGCCGCGUGUGUGAAGAAGGUCUUCGGAUUGUAAAGCACUUUAAGUUGGGAGGAAGGGCAGUAAGUUAAUACCUUGCUGUUUUGACGUUACCGACAGAAUAAGCACCGGCUAACUCUGUGCCAGCCGCCGCCGUAA
This 500-nucleotide ribosomal RNA is filed under the name uncultured bacterium. RNAcentral's name for it is "partial 16S ribosomal RNA". It matches the Rfam family "Bacterial small subunit ribosomal RNA", at positions 30 to 523 of the family's 1533-position model. The record is from RNAcentral.